This 208-nucleotide unclassified non-coding RNA is filed under the name uncultured fungus. RNAcentral describes it as "sequence contains ITS2". The record is from RNAcentral. Lineage: Eukaryota; Fungi.
AACGCACAUUGCGCCCCUUGUUACAGAGGGGCAUGCCUGUCUGAGUGUCCUUUAAACCAUAGGCUUUUGUCUGUUUUGGGCGUCGCGACGCAGCGUCUCCUCAAAGUAAUUGCCGUCGAGCGGAUGAGAUCCAUUAGGACGAGCCCGCUUCGACUCGAAACUUUCUCUGACGGACCUCAGAUCAGGUAGGACUACCGCCUGAACUUAA